Molecule: long non-coding RNA, 481 nt
Organism: Zea mays
Lineage: Eukaryota; Viridiplantae; Streptophyta; Magnoliopsida; Poales; Poaceae
Exons: 3
Source: RefSeq, a predicted model, not a curated record
UCUAUUUUGUGCUGAAAUCAAAUUAGGGAGCCAAGAUCGAGGCCAUUGCAAAUCGGUAUGAGAUAGUCAAAUACUUCAACAGUUUGCUCCAUGAAAAGCAUGUCUACAAGAUGCACAACGUAUGGUUUGGUCUUAAUCCGGGUGCAUUUAAUUUUCGACAUCUAAAUGGUACCAUGGAGUUGUAUUUCACCCACCAAACUGUCGUAGAGCCAUACGCUGUCCCAGUUCAAAUGCCGCCAUUUCCAAAACAUAUAUUCUUGAACCUUGAUGAUAUUGCCGAGCUGCCAAACAGGACUUUAGUUGACAUUAUGGCUAUUGUAGUCCACUUGGAUACAAUCCAUCGCACAAUGUGGGGUACAUUCAGGAAGAUUGUUAUAAUGGAUGCUAGGUGGUCUUUACAUACCAUUAAAGUUUGGGGCGAUUUACUAAACAAAAAUGCACUACGCUGGGCGUUGGCUAAUGAGAAUUAUAGCAUCAUAAU